CGCUCGACUGCGGGAGAGACUGGUUUUCUCCAGCGCCGAAGGAGCAACCGCCCCGGAAACUCUCAGGCAAACGGACCGCAGUCCGAGC
Molecule: non-coding RNA, 88 nt
Filed under: Devosia limi
Lineage: Bacteria; Pseudomonadati; Pseudomonadota; Alphaproteobacteria; Hyphomicrobiales; Devosiaceae
Also listed under: 1 other name
Description: Glycine sequence
Rfam family: Glycine riboswitch aptamer
About the family: This family represents the bacterial glycine riboswitch. Glycine riboswitches usually consist of two metabolite-binding aptamers domains with similar structures in tandem. The aptamers cooperatively bind glycine to regulate the expression of downstream genes.
Source: RNAcentral